CAGUAGCCGCGGUAAUACGAAGGGUGCAAGCGUUACUCGGAAUUACUGGGCGUAAAGCGUGCGUAGGUGGUGGUUUAAGUCCGUUGUGAAAGCCCUGGGCUCAACCUGGGAAUUGCAGUGGAUACUGGGUCACUAGAGUGUGGUAGAGGAUGGUGGAAUUUCCGGUGUAGCAGUGAAAUGCGUAGAGAUCGGAAGGAACAUCUGUGGCGAAGGCGACUAUCUGGGCCAACACUGACACUGAGGCGCGAAAGCGUGGGGAGCAAACAGGAUUAGAUACCCCCGUAGUCCCUGUCUCUUAUAC
Molecule: ribosomal RNA, 301 nt
Filed under: uncultured bacterium
Lineage: Bacteria
Description: partial 16S ribosomal RNA
Rfam family: Bacterial small subunit ribosomal RNA
Source: RNAcentral